GACGAACGCUGGCGGCGUGCUUAACACAUGCAAGUCGAACGGUAAGGCCCUUCGGGGUACACGAGUGGCGAACGGGUGAGUAACACGUGGGUGAUCUGCCCUGCACUUCGGGAUAAGCCUGGGAAACUGGGUCUAAUACCGGAUAGGACCACUGCCUGCAUGUGUGGCGGUGUAAAGCUUUCGCGGUGUGGGAUGGGCCCGCGGCCUCUCAGCUUGUUGGUGGGGUGAUGGCCUACCAAGGCGACGACGGGUAGCCGGCCUGAGAGGGUGACCGGCCACGCUGGGACUGAGAUACGGCCCAGACUCCUACGGGAGGCAGCAGUGGGGAAUAUUGCACAAUGGGCGCAAGCCUGAUGCAGCGACGCCGCGUGAGGGAUGACGGCCUUCGGGUUGUAAACCUCUUUCAGCACCGACGAAGCGCAAGUGACGGUAGGUGCAGAAGAAGGACCGGCCAACUACGUGCCAGCCGCCGCCGUAA
Molecule: ribosomal RNA, 478 nt
Filed under: uncultured bacterium
Lineage: Bacteria
Description: partial 16S ribosomal RNA
Rfam family: Bacterial small subunit ribosomal RNA
Source: RNAcentral